RNAcentral lists this ribosomal RNA (497 nucleotides) under uncultured bacterium. Its description in RNAcentral is "partial 16S ribosomal RNA". It matches the Rfam family "Bacterial small subunit ribosomal RNA", at positions 28 to 507 of the family's 1533-position model. The record is from RNAcentral.
GAUGAACGCUGGCGGCGUGCCUAAUACAUGCAAGUCGAACGAACAGACGAUAAGCUUGCGGCUCUCAUGUUAGCGGCGGACGGGUGAGUAACGCGUGUAUAACCUACCUAUAAGACUGGGAACACUUCGGGAAACCGGAUCUAAUACCAGAUAAUAUCUUGAACCGCAUGGUUCAAAAGUGAGAGACGGUCUUGCUGUCACUUAUAGAUGCAUCUGGGCUGCAUUAGCUAGUUGGUAAGGUAACGGCUUACCAAGGCAACGAUGCAUAGCCGACCUGAGAGGCGGAUCGGCGACAUGGGAGCGGAGCCAGGGUCAAGAGGACUGCGGGAGGCAGCAGUCGGGAAUGUGCCGCAGCAGGCGAAAGCCUGAUGGAGCAACGGCGCGUGAGUGAUGACGGUCUUCGGAUCGGAAAACUCUGUUAUUAGGGAUGAACAGAUGUGGCAGUAAAUGUGGAGAUAUUGACGGUACCUAAUCAGAAAGCACCGGCUAACUACGUG